ACGUAGGUGGCAAGCGUUGUCCGGAUUUACUGGGCGUAAAGGAUGCGUAGGCGGAUAUUUAAGUCAGAUGUGAAAUACCCGGGCUCAACUUGGGUGCUGCAUUUGAAACUGGAUAUCUAGAGUGCGGGAGAGGUAAGUGGAAUUCCUAGUGUAGCGGUGAAAUGCGUAGAGAUUAGGAAGAACACCAGUGGCGAAGGCGACUUACUGGACCGUAACUGACGCUGAGGCAUGAAAGCGUGGGGAGCAAACAGGA
RNAcentral lists this ribosomal RNA (253 nucleotides) under uncultured prokaryote. RNAcentral describes it as "partial 16S ribosomal RNA". It matches the Rfam family "Bacterial small subunit ribosomal RNA", at positions 525 to 777 of the family's 1533-position model. The record is from RNAcentral.